Oncorhynchus tshawytscha (Chinook salmon) is the source of this 2173-nucleotide long non-coding RNA. The record is from Ensembl. Lineage: Eukaryota; Metazoa; Chordata; Actinopteri; Salmoniformes; Salmonidae.
UGUCUAUAAAUGGAGAAUGUUCAGCACUGUUGCUACUCUCCCUAGGAGUGGCUGUCCGGCAAAGAUGACUGCAAGAGCACAGCACAGAAUGUUCAAUGAGGUUAAGAAGAAUCUUAGAGUAUCAGAUAAAGACAGAAAUCUCUGGAACAUGCUAACAUCUCUGUUGAUGAGUCUACAAUACGUAAGACACUAAACAAGAAUGGUGUUCAUGGGAGGACACCACGGAAGAAGCCACUGCUGUCCAAAUAAAACAUUGCUACACUGUCUGAAUUUUGUCAAAGUGCACCUGGAUGUUCCACAACGCUACCAGCAUAAUGUUCUGUGGACAGAUGAAACUGCAGUUGAGUUGUUUGGAAGGAACACACAACACCGUGUGGAGGAAAAGGCACAGCACACCAACAUCAAAACAUCAUCCCAACUGUAAAGUAUGGUGGAGGGAGCAUCAUGGUUUGGGGCUGCUUUGCUGCCCCAGGGCCUGGUCAGCUUGCUAUCGUUGACAGAAAAAUGAAUUCCCAUGUUUAUCAAGACAUUUUGAAGGAGAAUGUUCGGCUAACUGUUCUCCAAUUGAACCUCAACAGAAGUUGGGAGAUGCAACAGGACAAUGAUGCAAAACACAGAAGUAAAUCAACAGAAGAAAAUAAGCCUUCUGGAGUGGCCCAGUCAGAGUCCUGACCUCAACCCCAUUGAGAUGCUGUGGCAUGACCUCGAGAGCAGUUCACACCAGACAUCCCAAGAAUAUUGCUGAACUGAAACAGUUUUGUAAAGAGGAAUGGUGUUACAUUUAUUGUUUCUGUAUUGUGUUUUUUUUUGUAUGUGUGUUUCAGGAUGGCUUCCUAAAAUUCCCCCAAGCAGCUGAUUGGUCGGCCCCAUUGCUAAUUGGAGCUGAACCCGCCCUCUCGUCAGAGGAUACAGCUGUUUCCCAUUGGACUCCUCCUGAAGCUAGAAAAGCCUGUGUUCCUUUGUUAGGAGAGAGCUGAUUGUUAUGUUCUGUGCUAGUUUGUUGCUCAGAGAAAGAGAGCUUAUUAGUAUGUCCUGUGUGUGUCAAUAGGACGCAGUGUUUUUGAUUCUUGAAGUUGUUUACUUAUGUUUGUAUUCUGUUUCAUUUGUUCCCAGGGGGGAAGGGGAAGGCAACUAGGGAGUGCUUAGGCAAGAGGCCUGCGGGAAUACAUAACCAGUAGUAUUUACAGUCUAUGCACACUAGGUAAGACCUGGGCGGACCACCCCCUGUAUUUUGGUUAGCGCACCAGGAGGUGCUAAAAGGUUAGGUAAGUGGGUAGGCAGGUAAGAUAGGAGAGGGCAGGUUAGGUAAGUAGUGGGUAGGCAGGUAAGAUAGGAUAGGAGAGGGUAGGUUAGGUAAGUAGUGGGUAGGCAGGUAAGAUAGGAGAGGGUAGGUUAGGUAAGUAGUGGGUAGGCAGGUAAGAUGGGAGAGGGUAGGUUCGGUAAGUAGUGGGUAGGCAGGUAAGAUAGGAGAGGGUAGGUUAGGUAAGUAGUGGGUAGGCAGGUAAGAUAGGAGAGGAGAGGGUAGGUUAGGUAAGUAGUGGGUAGGCAGGUAAGAUAGGAGAGGGUAGGUUAGGUAAGUAGUGGGUAGGCAGGUAAGAUGGGAGAGGGUAGGUUAGGUAAGUAGUGGGUAGGCAGGUAAGAUGGGAGAGGGUAGGUUAGGUAAGUAGUGGGUAGGCAGGUAAGAUAGGAGAGGGUAGGUUAGGUAAGUAGUGGGUAGGCAGGUAAGAUAGGAGAGGGUAGGUUAGGUAAGUAGUGGGUAGGCAGGUAAGAUAGGAGAGGGUAGGUUAGGUAAGUAGUGGGUAGGCAGGUAAGAUAGGAGAGGGUAGGUUAGGUAAGUAGUGGGUAGGCAGGUAAGAUAGGAGAGGGUAGGUUAGGUAAGUAGUGGGUAGGCAGGUAAGAUAGGAGAGGGCAGGUUAGGUAAGUAGUGGGUAGGCAGGUAAGAUAGGAGAGGGUAGGUUAGGUAAGUAGUGGGUAGGCAGGUAAGAUAGGAGAGGGCAGGUUAGGUAAGUAGUGGGUAGGCAGGUAAGAUGGUAGAUGGGGCUUUGACAUUUACUUUCUUUGCUUUGGUUCCGUUCAGCUCCUUUCCCUCAAAUGUAUCGUGUGAAGGAAUAAAUUACCAGUAAAGGGUCAAUUCUCUGCCUUUUGUCAUCCUUACUCGCACCUACAAUCCCAU